AGUUUUCAUCAGUAAAGAGAACACCCACAAUGAUGAGAUCAUGGUGCCAACAAAGCAAAAUAGCCUUCGAAGAGACUCAUGCAAUGUAACUCCUAACUCAUAAAGGGUCUGUGACUUACACUGAGGGAAGGAGUGCCAACACCUAGAAGUUUUGGCAAGCCAGGACUAAACCCAGGACUGUGACUUAAAAGGUAGAACAAUUCCAAGAUCCUAUAGAAUGACAAAGAAGAUGUGCCCCAUUGUUUGAUCAAUUUCAAUUAAAUAAGGAUUGA
RNAcentral lists this long non-coding RNA (272 nucleotides) under Monodelphis domestica (gray short-tailed opossum). RNAcentral describes it as "lncRNA (ENSMODG00000031636.2)". Lineage: Eukaryota; Metazoa; Chordata; Mammalia; Didelphimorphia; Didelphidae. The record is from RNAcentral.